UACCUGGUUGAUCCUGCCAGUAGUCAUAUGCUUGUCUCAAAGAUUAAGCCAUGCAAGUCUAAGUACGAGCUCUCGUACAGUGAAACUGCGAAUGGCUCAUUAAAUCAGUUAUGGUUCAUUUGAUCGUACAGUUUACUUGGAUAACUGUGGUAAUUCUAGAGCUAAUACAUGCGAGAAGCGCCGACCUCGCGGGAGGCGUGCAUUUAUCAGACCAAAAACCGGCCGCGUCUU
Molecule: non-coding RNA, 231 nt
Organism: Ciona savignyi (Pacific transparent sea squirt)
Lineage: Eukaryota; Metazoa; Chordata; Ascidiacea; Phlebobranchia; Cionidae
Source: Rfam